CUUCGGAUCUAGCGGCGGACGGGUGAGUAACGCGUGGGGAUGUGCCCUUUGCUACGGAAUAGUCCCGGGAAACUGGGUUUAAUACCGUAUGAGCCCUUCGGGGGAAAGAUUUAUCGGCAAAGGAUCAACCCGCGUUGGAUUAGGUAGUUGGUGGGGUAAUGGCCUACCAAGCCGACGAUCCAUAGCUGGUUUGAGAGGAUGAUCAGCCACACUGGGACUGAGACACGGCCCAGACUCCUACGGGAGGCAGCAGUGGGGAAUCUUAGACAAUGGGGGCAACCCUGAUCUAGCCAUGCCGCGUGAACGAUGAAGGCCUUAGGGUUGUAAAGUUCUUUCAGCUG
RNAcentral lists this ribosomal RNA (341 nucleotides) under Paracoccus homiensis. RNAcentral's name for it is "bacterial SSU rRNA". It matches the Rfam family "Bacterial small subunit ribosomal RNA", at positions 84 to 442 of the family's 1533-position model. Lineage: Bacteria; Pseudomonadati; Pseudomonadota; Alphaproteobacteria; Rhodobacterales; Paracoccaceae. The record is from RNAcentral.